ACAAUGAAAGGUUUUACAAAGGAUUGAAAAGCUCUAAAUAAGCAAAUAUGACAAUGAUAAACAAUAGAACCCGGAAGAAUCCUUUUGCCGUUGGAAGCGUGGGAAAUGAUGAUUCUUCCGAUGUGGAUCGCGUAGGCUUGAGUAUGAGCUUUGAAUCCCGAGCGGAAGAGAGUGGUUGAGCUUGAAAUCACUUGGGAAGCUUGAAAGCACUUGAUUUCUUCACUUGAAUGCACUCACUCC
This 240-nucleotide long non-coding RNA is filed under the name Phoenix dactylifera (date palm). Its description in RNAcentral is "long non-coding RNA (PDAC_LNC014130)". Lineage: Eukaryota; Viridiplantae; Streptophyta; Magnoliopsida; Arecales; Arecaceae. The record is from RNAcentral.